This 451-nucleotide ribosomal RNA is filed under the name uncultured bacterium. RNAcentral describes it as "bacterial SSU rRNA". It matches the Rfam family "Bacterial small subunit ribosomal RNA", at positions 335 to 800 of the family's 1533-position model. The record is from RNAcentral.
ACUCCUACGGGAGGCAGCAGUGGGGAAUAUUGCACAAUGGGCGCAAGCCUGAUGCAGCAACGCCGUGUGAGUGAAGAAGGUUUUCGGAUCGUAAAACUCUGUCCUAAGGGAAGAAACAAAUGACGGUACCUUAGGAGGAAGCCCCGGCUAACUACGUGCCAGCAGCCGCGGUAAUACGUAGGGGGCAAGCGUUAUCCGGAAUCACUGGGGCGUAAAGGGUGCGUAGGCGGCUUAGCAAGCCAGGGGUGAAAGGCAUUGGCUCAACCAAUGUAAGCCUUUGGAACUGUUAAGCUUGAGUGCAGGAGAGGUAAGUGGAAUUCCUAGUGUAGAGGUGAAAUUCGUAGAUAUUAGGAGGAACACCAGUGGCGAAGGCGACUUACUGGACUGUAACUGACGCUGAUGCACGAAAGCGUGGGUAGCGAACAGGAUUAGAUACCCUGGUAGCACAGGG